RNAcentral lists this ribosomal RNA (374 nucleotides) under uncultured bacterium. Its description in RNAcentral is "bacterial SSU rRNA". It matches the Rfam family "Bacterial small subunit ribosomal RNA", at positions 521 to 895 of the family's 1533-position model. The record is from RNAcentral.
UAAUACGAAGGGGGCUAGCGUUGUUCGGAAUUACUGGGCGUAAAGCGCGCGCAGGCGGUCCUUCAAGUCAGGGGUGAAAGCCCAGGGCUCAACCCUGGAAUGGCCUUUGAGACUAGAGGACUUGGGUACGGGAGAGGUGAGUGGAAUUCCGAGUGUAGAGGUGAAAUUCGUAGAUAUUCGGAAGAACACCAGUGGCGAAGGCGGCUCACUGGCCCGUUACCGACGCUCAGGCGCGACAGCGUGGGGAGCAAACAGGAUUAGAUACCCUGGUAGUCCACGCCGUAAACGAUGGAUGCUAGCCGUUGGUAAGCAUGCUUAUCAGUGGCGCAGCUAACGCAUUAAGCAUCCCGCCUGGGGAGUACGGCCGCAAGGUU